UACGUAGGGUCCGAGCGUUUGUCCGGAAUUACUGGGCGUAAAGAGCUCGUAGGUGGUUUGUCGCGUUGUUCGUGAAAACUCACAGCUUAACUGUGGGCGUGCGGGCGAUACGGGCAGACUUGAGUACUGCAGGGGAGACUGGAAUUCCUGGUGUAGCGGUGGAAAUGCGCAGAUAUCAGGAGGAACACCGGUGGCGAAGGCGGGUCUCUGGGCCAGUAACUGACGCUGAGGAGCGAAAGCGUGGGGAGCGAAACAGG
This 257-nucleotide ribosomal RNA is filed under the name uncultured bacterium. RNAcentral's name for it is "partial 16S ribosomal RNA". It matches the Rfam family "Bacterial small subunit ribosomal RNA", at positions 524 to 776 of the family's 1533-position model. The record is from RNAcentral.